Molecule: ribosomal RNA, 292 nt
Filed under: uncultured bacterium
Lineage: Bacteria
Description: partial 16S ribosomal RNA
Rfam family: Bacterial small subunit ribosomal RNA
Source: RNAcentral
GUGUCAGCCGCCGCGGUAAUACAGAGGUCUCGAGCGUUAGGCGGAAUCACUGGGCUUAAAGCGUGUGUAGGCGGGUCGUUAAGUACCUUGUGAAAUCCCACGGCUCAACCGUGGAACUGCUUGGUAUACUGGCGAUCUUGUGCCACCUAGGGGCGAGCGGAACAGAUGGUGGAGCGGUGAAAUGCGUAGAUAUCAUCUGGAACGCCAAUGGUGAAAACAGCUCGCUGGGGGUGUGCAGACGCUGAGACACGAAAGCCAGGGGAGCGAACGGGAUUAGAUACCCUUGUAGUCC